AUUGAACGCUGGCGGCAGGCCUAACACAUGCAAGUCGAGCGGAUGAAGGGAGCUUGCUCCUGGAUUCAGCGGCGGACGGGUGAGUAAUGCCUAGGAAUCUGCCUGGUCGUGGGGGAUAACGUCCGGAAACGGGCGCUAAUACCGCAUACGUCCUGAGGGAGAAAGUGGGGGAUCUUCGGACCUCACGCUAUCAGAUGAGCCUAGGUCGGAUUAGCUAGUUGGUGGGGUAAAGGCCUACCAAGGCGACGAUCCGUAACUGGUCUGAGAGGAUGAUCAGUCACACUGGAACUGAGACACGGUCCAGACUCCUACGGGAGGCAGCAGUGGGGAAUAUUGGACGAUGGGCGAAAGCCUGAUCCAGCCAUGCCGCGUGUGUGAAGAAGGUCUUCGGAUUGUAAAGCACUUUAAGUUGGGAGGAAGGGCAGUAAGUGAAUACCUUGCUGUUUUGACGUUACCAACAGAAUAAGCACCGGCUAACUUCGUG
RNAcentral lists this ribosomal RNA (484 nucleotides) under uncultured bacterium. RNAcentral describes it as "partial 16S ribosomal RNA". It matches the Rfam family "Bacterial small subunit ribosomal RNA", at positions 30 to 507 of the family's 1533-position model. The record is from RNAcentral.